GUGCAUUAAUUCAAAACAAGUGAAAUAUGAACUAGAGAAUACAAGGCAAAAGUAACUUAGUUUCAUUAGCUUUAAUCUAGAGGGGCUGGGCUGCUUUCUGAAAUGAUCUCAGAUCGUUUUCGUUAUUAUACUCGUGCUCCAUGAAUGACUCAACGGUUAGAGAAGCUUAAGUUGCUGUGUUGAGCUCGGGAGCUGCAGUACUCGAGUAAACUGGGUGAAGUACAUGGCCAUCCUUGGGCUCAACAUGAACCCACUUGCGACCACUCAACUUGUGGUGCUCAAACUUUACACAACCUUCUUUCAGAGCAUAGAGUGUGUGGUCUUUCCCUAUCCCAACGUAGUUUCCAGGAUGAAAUCUGGUUCCCCUUUGACGAACAAUGAU
RNAcentral lists this unclassified non-coding RNA (382 nucleotides) under Hevea brasiliensis (rubber tree). The record is from RNAcentral. Lineage: Eukaryota; Viridiplantae; Streptophyta; Magnoliopsida; Malpighiales; Euphorbiaceae.